UGUGAAACAAAAAUCAGUUUCCAGCAGCUGUUGGUGGUAAAGUGUCCAGUGCCCACCACAGCCAGAGAGAAAGCUGCUGAAUAUUUUGAAUUUCCCUCGGGAUUAAUAAAGCGUCUGUCCGUCGAGUCGUCGGAUCCUCUUGAUCCUCAUCAGGGUCAUGGGGGGCUGGAGUCUAUCCCAGCUGACUGCGGGUGAAGGCAGGGGACACCUGGACAGGUAACAGUCUAUCACAGGUUCACCUGGACAGGUAACUGUAUCACAGGGCUACACAGAGAGACAAACAUUCACACCUAUGGACAGUUUAGAAUCACCAAUUGACCUCAGCAUGUUUCUGGACUGUGGGAGAACCUGGAGGAAACCCACGCAUGUACAGGAGAACAUGGAGACUCCAUGCAGGAAGAUCCCAGGAAGGCUGGGACACAAACCGAGGAUCUUCUAGCUGUGAGGCGACGGAGCUAACCACCAAGCUACUGUGCAGCCUGCUGCUACUAUUAUUUUUUUUAUUGUCUAAUAUUCAGAUUAUUGUCCAGAUGAGUAGUUGAUCAUUCUGUUAAUUGCUUGUCAGAAAAUUGGUUAAAAAAAAAAAAAAAAAAUAUGGGAUGCCAGAUUGAACAGGCCACACACCUGAAUAUAUUGAAUUUGUAAUAGCAACAACAACAACCUGGUUGUGUCACAUUUCUGUGCGUUACAAAAUGUGUUAGGUGGGAAAUAAUAAUAAUUAGAAUUACUAUGAUGUCAAAAACGUACAGAGGAAGGAGAAAAUGAGAUUGAAAACCUAAAUGCAGGAUCUAAAAUCAUAAAGUGGGCAUAAAUGCUUUCUUACAGUGACAUAAAAAAACUGAAAAUACACACAUUUGACUUUUUUCUUAAGUGAUGCAGUAGAUGUAUUAAUUGUCAGAAUAAUUCAAACCCAAUUUGCUGUUGCUGUCAGCUGUUUUGUGUAGGUAUUAUGUUUGAAAAUGAGUUAGAAGACCAAAUGCAGUUGUCUUUUGUGCUUUUUUUUAAUUGACUUUUAUUUCUAAAAAUGUAAUUCUCAGUACCUCAGCUAAAAUGCUGUGCAAUUAUGUCUCACUGGGGCAUUCAACAGACUCACUGUCAAAACAACCACUUGUGAUUUCUGCUGUUAAAGUUUUGCAGAGGUUUUAGCUAAGUGUGUGUACAUGUGUAAUUGUGGUGCAUAACCUUUCAUGCUUCUGUUUAAAUUGCUUGAAGCGGACCAGCGGUCAUCAAGCUUUCUGUAUCAGCAGAACGAUGGUGCCGCCGCUGUUUGCUAACAUGGUUCACUUUGUGUGUCUCUGCAGGGGGAGGUGGUGCACUGGCUGGCCUGUUGGCUGGAUGCAGCCUGCAGGAAGGGCUCCACUCCCACAGUGGGUAAAGGACUGAUGGAGGGAGGAUCCUUCACUCGUCCAAACUCAGUCUGAUCCAGUUCUUCUCUAAGAUGAGGAAGUGGGCCGACAUGUCCAACCUCUCGCAGGACUUCAGGCUACAAAUGGAUGGCUGGAGCGAAACUUUGAGGUCUCCACCGUGAUCUUCCGCAAGUUUGAUGUCUUGAUUUAGUAGUAAGAGACUUCCUUUUUGUCCAAACCAUUUGACUCUGAUGGUGUGUGUCCACUGCAUUCAAUGUUCAACAAGUGAGCAAUGGUUUUGUUUCCAUGAAUAUAAACAUAUAUGAAGAGUACAUUG
Molecule: long non-coding RNA, 1683 nt
Organism: Amphiprion ocellaris (clown anemonefish)
Lineage: Eukaryota; Metazoa; Chordata; Actinopteri; Pomacentridae
Exons: 3
Source: RefSeq, a predicted model, not a curated record